This 342-nucleotide unclassified non-coding RNA is filed under the name fungal sp. RNAcentral's name for it is "partial internal transcribed spacer region". The stretch from base 1 to 46 matches the Rfam family "Eukaryotic small subunit ribosomal RNA", at positions 1786 to 1831 of the family's 1831-position model. The record is from RNAcentral. Lineage: Eukaryota; Fungi.
AAGUCGUAACAAGGUUUCCGUAGGUGAACCUGCGGAAGGAUCAUUAACAGUUUAAAGGUCGUCUUUAAAAGGACGUACCAUUUCACUGAUACACCUGUGUUGUUGUUGAUGUUUCUGGCGAGUUUGAGUGGAUUGUGGUGUGUGUGUAUACGCAUACUAUAAAAGCUCACACUAGCUUUUGCGUGUAAAAUCGCAUUUGCCAGUGCGGCUCGUCAGCAUUUUCUUCAUAACCAUUUCUUUUUUGACUGAACUUUUUUUAAUGACUCUUAUACAUAUACACACAUAUGCAUAUUAGUCUAUUAUAAUCUUAUACAACUGUUAGCAACGGAUCACUUGGUUCUC